Molecule: long non-coding RNA, 769 nt
Organism: Oncorhynchus keta (chum salmon)
Lineage: Eukaryota; Metazoa; Chordata; Actinopteri; Salmoniformes; Salmonidae
Exons: 3
Source: RefSeq, a predicted model, not a curated record
CUCUCUCUCUCUCUAGUUGUGUGUGUUUAGUGGUCUCUCUCUAGUUGUGUGUGUGUUUAGUGGUCUCUCUCUCUCUCUCUCUAGUUGUGUGUGUUUAGUGGUCUCUCUCUCUCUAGUUGUGUGUGUUUAGUGUGGUCUCUCUCUCUAGUUGUGUGUGUUUAGUGGUCUCUCUCUCUCUAGUUGUGUGUGUUUAGUGGUCUCUCUCUCUAGUUGUGUGUGUUUAGUGGUCUCUCUCUCUAGUUGUGUGUGUUUAGUGGUCUCUCUCUCUAGUUGUGUGUGUUUAGUGGUCUCUCUCUAGUUGUGUGUGUUUAGUGGUCUCUCUCUAGUUGUGUGUUUAGUGGUCUCUCUCUCUCUAGUUGUGUGUGUUUAGUGGUCUCUCUCUCUCUCUAGUUGUGUGUGUUUAGUGGUCUCUCUCUCUCUCUAGUUGUGUGUGUUUAGUGGUCUCUCUCUCUCUCUAGUUGUGUGUGUUUAGUGGUCUCUCUCUCUCUAGUUGUGUGUGUUUAGUGGUCUCUCUCUCUCUCUAGUUGUGUGUGUUUAGUGGUCUCUCUCUCUAGUUGUGUGUGUUUAGUGGUCUCUCUCUCUCUAGUUGUGUGUGUUUAGUGGUCUCUCUCUCUCUCUAGUUGUGUGUGUUUAGUGUGGUCUCUCUCUCUAGUUGUGUGUGUUUAGUGGUCUCUCUCUCUCUAGUUGUGUGUGUUUAGUGGUCUCUCUCUCUCUAGUUGUGUGUGUUUAGUGGUCUCUCUCUAGUUGUGUGUGUUUAGUGGUUUCUCCA